UGUCAACACAGCCGCAAACUCAUUUCUGUGGGAGCCAAAGAGGCAAUGAAGAGAGAAAACAGGAAGUAAGGAAAAAGGAUAAAUUUUUCCCAAAAGGCCUGGAAGUAGAGCUUGAGAGUGAUCGCCUUUCAAGGACGACUGGAAUGGUUGUUGGUGGAAGAUGGUACAGAGUCUAAGAGAAUUGACGUAUUAUCUUGGAUCCCAGUGGCAAGGGAACACUUCUGUCCUACAAUAAUCUCUCCCAUCCCCAACAGGAAAAAGAUGGGGAUGAAACCUUGUUACAGCAAUCUCAAACACAGGUGUACUUAUCAUCGGCUUUUCCAGCGACUCCUCUUCCUUCUCACUGGCAGCCAGCACACCUGGCAUCCCGCACCUGCCACUGACUUCCUUUUAACAACUGAUCUGGACAUGAUGAUUUUAUGACCUUGCAAACUAAAACGCGAUCUCUUUACUUUAAUAAAGAAGAAAGAAAAAACCAGCUGCUUCUAUAGGCAUUCUGUAUCCUCACUUUAUUUUCCCUCGAUGUUUAUACUUCUCUAGACCAGCAUAUCUUUUUGGAAACUCUGACACAUGCUUGAGAAAAAUUUGCCUAUGAAAUUUUGUUUCUGACAAGAAUCAACCCAAAGUUUGUGCUUUGGCCAUAAAAUUCAUGCAGAAAGUUAUUUAUUUUUAAGCUACAUGUAUGUGAUUGAAUGGCUUAUAAUCAGCAUUUCUAUUAUGGCUCAAAUGACUUUUGAGGGUUAUUAUUAUUAUUAUUUAGAUGUUAUAUGGAUCUACACACAGUCAUGACAUCUUAGAAUAAAUCUUUCCUGUUCCUGAGAGUGAAGACACUUCCUGGAGGUAUAACUCAUUACUCUCACCCCUAGAUUCCAUGGCCCUGAUAACUGCAGGCAUCCUAAGUUAACAUCACAAUUCUUGUCAUUUCUCGAUCAGUCUCCUUAUGGCUCCUUUUGCUCAUCCUUUUUCUCCAAUGGCUUAUAUAUUCACUAUAACAACAUUAUAGAUAAGAUGUGACAAUUUCUAGAGGGUAGGCGUGCCUACCAUAUUAUUCAUGAAUAUCCUUCAUGAAUAAAGAAUUCUAUAUUCUUCUGAGCUACAAGAUAUGUAGGAACAAGAAAGAUCUGGGGCCACAGACAGGUGGUUCAUCCACUGGACAUGUGACAAUCAGUUAAGAAAUUAAAACAGCAGAGUUGGCCAGAAGCGGUGGCUCACACCUGUAAUCCCAGCACUUUGGGAGGCUGAGGUCAGGAGUUCAAGACCAGCCUGGCCAAAAUGGUGAAACACUGUCUCUACUAAAAAUACAAAAAUUAGCCGGGUGUAGUGGCGAGCACCUGUAAUCCCAGCUACUCAGGAGACUGAAGCAGGAAAAUUGCUUGAAACCUGGAGGCGGAGGUUGCAGUGAGCCGAGAUUUUACCACUGUACUCUAGUCUGGGUGACAGAGUAAGACUCCUUCUC
This is a long non-coding RNA of Pan troglodytes (chimpanzee), 1456 nucleotides long. RefSeq lists it as uncharacterized. The record is from RefSeq and is a predicted model, not a curated record. The transcript has 3 exons. NCBI's taxonomy places the organism in Eukaryota, Metazoa, Chordata, Mammalia, Primates, Hominidae.